UACCAGAAGCAGGGAGACUAAGGAAUGUCAGGAGUGACGAGGUGAUUCUGUCUUUGUUAAGGUGACCGGUAUGCAGGAUGUCAUCAGCUGCUAUCCUGGAGGUCCAGCAACUUCUAGGAUGAGGAAAAUAGAUGUCUUACAGACAGUUUGAGCCAAGUUUCAAGCUUCCAGAGAGUGAAUCACAAUACGCCCAGAGGUUCCCAGGAGAACCCCAAGUUCUGAGCCACAGCACUGGGGAAACAGCUGCUGUGAGGGUUGAGAAAUGAGGCAGACCUGGGAAGCAGGAGGAUGAGGAUGCUGGAACAACAGUGCCACCUGUGUGGAGGGACUGCCCAUCACUCUGGGCUUCGGGUACACCGAGGAAGAUCAGGGGGAAACUGGAGUUUCAAACCUGGGCUCGCUGGCUGCAGGCUUUAGCCUGUACAGACACAAUUUUUCACACAGACCCCCUGGACCUGGCUCCCAAAAGCCAACCUUGGGAGAAACGCUCUCUCUCUGACUCAGGACUCUGCCGCUCCUCAGAGAGCAUCCCAGCAUGGUGGCAUCUACUCUUUUGUAUCCCUGGACAAAUACAGGCCUUCCUUGACUGAGCACCCUUCAAUCAAUGGUACGACCUCUGCCAGGUGACACCGUGCACGCUUCCCAGCUGGCGGUGAAAUUAACAAGCCUCCUCUCUCAGAGGCUUGGUUCUAAACAGCUCUGGAGAGCUCCAACCUUCACCUCCCUCGAUGGCCGGUGACCUAGUACAGUUCCGUGGAGAUGACCUGUCCAUUGAGAAACCAUCCCGAUCUCCUCAUAAACGCCCAAUGACGCUCAUCUAGCACAGCCUACGCCUGCAGCCGCGGGGG
Molecule: long non-coding RNA, 848 nt
Filed under: Rattus norvegicus (Norway rat)
Lineage: Eukaryota; Metazoa; Chordata; Mammalia; Rodentia; Muridae
Description: long non-coding RNA NONRATT033357
Source: RNAcentral